This 189-nucleotide ribosomal RNA is filed under the name Glomus sp. RNAcentral's name for it is "partial large subunit ribosomal RNA". The record is from RNAcentral. Lineage: Eukaryota; Fungi; Glomeromycota; Glomeromycetes; Glomerales; Glomeraceae.
GAAGUGUUAUAGCCUCUGGUAGAUGUGAUAACUGGGAUUGAGGAUUGCAACGAAUACCCUUAGGGCUACCUGUCUGGCCUCUGGUCGUCGCUUUGGUGCCGAAAGCGUGCUUAUGGUAUUAAAGUAGGUGGUUAAAAGGUUAGCGCGGGUUAAAUUCGUUAAGGAUGUUGACGUAAUGACUUUAAACGA